This 253-nucleotide ribosomal RNA is filed under the name uncultured bacterium. RNAcentral describes it as "partial 16S ribosomal RNA". It matches the Rfam family "Bacterial small subunit ribosomal RNA", at positions 524 to 776 of the family's 1533-position model. The record is from RNAcentral.
UACAGAGGUCUCAAGCGUUGUUCGGAUUCAUUGGGCGUAAAGGGUGCGUAGGCGGCGCGGUAAGUCGGGUGUGAAAUCUCGGGGCUUAACUCCGAAACUGCAUUCGAUACUGCCGUGCUUGAGGACUGGAGAGGAGACUGGAAUUUACGGUGUAGCGGUGAAAUGCGUAGAUAUCGGGAGGAACACCAGUGGCGAAAGCGCCUUGCUGGCCCAUUACUGACGCUCAUGAACGAAAGCCAGGGUAGCGAAAGGG